Molecule: ribosomal RNA, 253 nt
Filed under: uncultured bacterium
Lineage: Bacteria
Description: partial 16S ribosomal RNA
Rfam family: Bacterial small subunit ribosomal RNA
Source: RNAcentral
UACGGGGGGGGCAAGCGUUGUUCGGAAUUACUGGGCGUAAAGGGCUCGUAGGCGGCCAACUAAGUCGGAUGUGAAAUCCCCAGGCUCAACCUGGGAACUGCAUCCGAUACUGGUUGGCUUGAAUCCGGGAGAGGGAUGCAGAAUUCCAGGUGUAGCGGUGAAAUGCGUAGAUAUCUGGAGGAAUACCGGUGGCGAAGGCGGCAUCCUGGACCGGCAUUGACGCUGAGGAGCGAAAGCCAGGGGAGCAAACGGG